Molecule: ribosomal RNA, 312 nt
Filed under: Yersinia sp. (in: enterobacteria)
Lineage: Bacteria; Pseudomonadati; Pseudomonadota; Gammaproteobacteria; Enterobacterales; Yersiniaceae
Description: bacterial SSU rRNA
Rfam family: Bacterial small subunit ribosomal RNA
Source: RNAcentral
GAGUUGAUCCUGGCUCAGAUUGAACGCUGGCGGCAGGCCUAACACAUGCAAGUCGAGCGGCAGCGGAAAGUAGCUUGCUACUUUGCCGGCGAGCGGCGGACGGGUGAGUAAUGUCUGGGAAACUGCCCGAUGGAGGGGGAUAACUACUGGAAACGGUAGCUAAUACCGCAUAACGUCUNCGGACCAAAGUGGGGGACCUUCGGGCCUCACACCAUCGGAUGUGCCCAGAUGGGAUUAGCUAGUAGGUGGGGUAACGGCUCACCUAGGCGACGAUCCCUAGCUGGUCUGAGAGGAUGACCAGCCACACUGGAA